This 79-nucleotide transfer RNA is filed under the name Thermomonospora cellulosilytica. RNAcentral's name for it is "Actinomadura cellulosilytica tRNA-Ser". The record is from RNAcentral. Lineage: Bacteria; Bacillati; Actinomycetota; Actinomycetes; Streptosporangiales; Thermomonosporaceae.
GGGCGCAGGUCACGAAGGGGAGCUGAUGAUCACGUCUCCUUACAAGCGAGGGGCGCAAGUUCGAUUCUUGCUGCGGCUA